CGCGUAGGCGGAUCGUUAAGUCAGAGGUGAAAUCCCAGGGCUCAACCCUGGAACUGCCCUUGAUACUGGCGAUCUUGAGUAUGAGAGAGGUAUGUGGAACUCCGAGUGUAGAGGUGAAAUUCGUAGAUAUUCGGAAGAACACCAGUGGCGAAGGCGACAUACUGGCUCAUUACUGACGCUGAGGCGCGAAGCUGGGAGCAAACA
This 204-nucleotide ribosomal RNA is filed under the name uncultured bacterium. RNAcentral's name for it is "partial 16S ribosomal RNA". It matches the Rfam family "Bacterial small subunit ribosomal RNA", at positions 568 to 774 of the family's 1533-position model. The record is from RNAcentral.